Mustela erminea (ermine) is the source of this 71-nucleotide long non-coding RNA. RefSeq lists it as uncharacterized. NCBI's taxonomy places the organism in Eukaryota, Metazoa, Chordata, Mammalia, Carnivora, Mustelidae. The transcript has 4 exons. The record is from RefSeq and is a predicted model, not a curated record.
UAAAGACAAUUGGGAGUCUCCUGGUGAAAUGUUACAUUCUUGCUAUCAAACAUCCUUGUUAAAGAGAUUUA